Molecule: ribosomal RNA, 257 nt
Filed under: uncultured Finegoldia sp.
Lineage: Bacteria; Bacillati; Bacillota; Tissierellia; Tissierellales; Peptoniphilaceae
Description: partial 16S ribosomal RNA
Rfam family: Bacterial small subunit ribosomal RNA
Source: RNAcentral
CGAACGGGUGAGUAACGCGUGAGCAACCUGCCUAUGACAGUGGGAUAGCCUCGGGAAACCGGGAUUAAUACCGCAUAAAAUCGUAGAAACACAUGUUUCAACGGUCAAAGAUUUAUCGGUCAUAGAUGGGCUCGCGUCUGAUUAGCUAGUUGGUGAGAUAACAGCCCACCAAGGCGACGAUCAGUAGCCGGUCUGAGAGGAUGAACGGCCACAUUGGAACUGAGACACGGUCCAAACUCCUACGGGAGGCAGCAGGG